UUGAGAGUUUGAUCCUGGCUCAGAACGAACGCUGGCGGCAGGCUUAACACAUGCAAGUCGAGCGCACUUUUGGUCUUCGGAUUAAAAGCGAGCGGCGGACGGGUUAGUAACGCGUGGGAACGUACCCUUUUCUAAGGAAUAGCCUCGGGAAACUGAGAGUAAUACCUUAUACGCCCUUCGGGGGAAAGAUUUAUCGGAGAAGGAUCGGCCCGCGUUAGAUUAGAUAGUUGGUGGGGUAAUGGCCUACCAAGUCUACGAUCUAUAGCUGGUUUUAGAGGAUGAUCAGCAACACUGGGACUGAGACACGGCCC
RNAcentral lists this ribosomal RNA (311 nucleotides) under uncultured Thalassiosira. RNAcentral describes it as "partial Bacterial small subunit ribosomal RNA". It matches the Rfam family "Bacterial small subunit ribosomal RNA", at positions 1 to 332 of the family's 1533-position model. The record is from RNAcentral. Lineage: Eukaryota; Bacillariophyta; Thalassiosirophyceae; Thalassiosirales; Thalassiosiraceae.